Long non-coding RNA from Salvelinus namaycush (lake trout), 3752 nucleotides. RefSeq lists it as uncharacterized. The transcript has 6 exons. The record is from RefSeq and is a predicted model, not a curated record. Lineage: Eukaryota; Metazoa; Chordata; Actinopteri; Salmoniformes; Salmonidae.
AAUGUUCCACCAUUGCUAGUUUCCAAAUGUUAAAAUACUGAACUUUUCCUUUAAGAAACUCUUCUCUCCACUGCGGCUUCCUGGUGUUGUGAAGGUCCUCCGGAAAAGUUAAGAGUAAAAAAACAAUUUGUUGCACAGGAUCUAUUAUGAGACGACCGAGUAGAAUAUCAUCUUCAAAACGGAGAUGACAUAAAGUAAAUAUUUCAGAAAUGAAUCCACACGACAGAGCAGAGAGAGUGAAUGUAAGGGUUAUAUAGUAUAAGAGAGAGUAGUAUCGCCUGGACUGAGUAAGAACAUUGACUUAAUGGUAUGUGUUAAGUCUGACGUGGAUCAGUACAGACACUGUUAAAAGGAGGCUUACAGUGGUGAGACAAUGUUGGGGGCCAACUGGUUCCUACAGGGAGGAGGUGGAUCAGUGAAACACUUUGUACCUUGACUCUCCCUUCAGUUCACCAGACAGCAGAAUGAAGAGCAGAGCUUCACACAAAGGGGAGAAAUAAAUUAAUGAUCACUACUUCCAAGACAAACUGAAAUCCUACCUUAAGAAUAAGUACGGCUGUAUAUAUGAGGGGACGUCAAAGGAAGGUGAUUCCAUCUACCUAGACCAGAUCUACACUGAGCUCCAUGUGAUCGAGGGGGCCUGGGGAGGGGUCCGAGAUGAGCAUGAGGUCAUACAUCUGGAAUCCAGAACACCAGCCACAGGAGAGACCACUAUUGAAGCCAACAACAUUUUCAAGCCCCGACCUGAUCAAAAGAAGCCAAUCAGAACAGGGCUUACACUGGGCAUCGCUGGCGUGGGAAAGACUGUCUCCGUUCAGAAGUUUAUUCACGACUGGGCAGAAGGAAAGGAGUACCAAGACAUUGAUUUCAUCUUUCCACUUCCUUUUUGCCAAAUUAAUUCUAAUAUAGGGGAAAAGGACCACAGUCUGAUUGAACUGCUUCAUCAAUUCUUCACUGUCAUGGGACCGGUGAAGACCCUGGGGGUAGGUUCUAAAGUUCUGUUCAUCUUUGAUGGUCUGGACGAGAGUCGACUUCCUCUGAACUUCAACAGUAAGCUUCUGACAGACGACACAAAGCCAGCCUCGCUGGACCAACUGAUCACAAACCUCAUCACAGGAGAGCUCCUCCCCUCUCAUCUCAUCUGGAUAACCUCCCGACCUGCUGCAGCCAAUCAGAUCCCUCGUCAACACAUCCACCAGUGGACAGAGGUACAAGGGUUCAAUGACCCACAGAAGGAGGAGUACUUCAGGAAGAAAAUGAGUGAUGAGACCCUGGCCAGCAGAAUCAUCAACCAUGACAAGUCAUCAAGGAGCCUCCACAUCAUGUGCCACAUACCAGUGUUCUGUUGGAUUUUAGCCACUGUUCUAGAGAAGCUGUUGGAUCAAGCAGGGAGUGGAAAGUUGCCCAAAACCCUGACUGAGACGUACUUACACUUCCUGAUCUGUCAGACAGACAGGAUAAGAGCUAAAGGGAACUCCGUAGAAAGUGACAACAUAGUCCUCAAACUUGGAGAGCUGGCAUUUCAUCAGCUGGAGAAGGGAUAUCUUAUAUUCUAUGAGGAAGACCUGACAGAGUGUGGCAUUGGAGUCAGAAAAGCAUCCGUGCACUCAGGUUUGUGCACCGAGAUCUUUAAGGUGGAGGGAGGACCAGUCAGAAGAGUGUUCAGCUUUGUGCAUCUGAGCGUCCAGGAGUGUCUUGCUGCUGUUUAUGUGUUUCUCACAUUCAUAAACUGCAAUGAAAACCCACUGGUCCAAUAGAACUCCUUUUUGCGGAAAUUUCGGAAACACCAACCUAUGAUGGACUUAGUCAAGAGUGCAGUGGACAAGGCCCCAAAGAGUAAGAAUGGACACCUGGACCUGUUCCUCCGUUUCCUUUUGGGCCUCUCACUGGAGUCCAAUCAGACUCUCCUACAAGGCCUACUGACACAGACAGGAAGCAGCUCACAGACCAGUGAGGAAGUAGUUGAGUACAUCAAGAUGAAGAUCAGGAAGAAUCCCUCUCCAGAGAGAACCAUCAAUCUGUUCCACUGUCUGAGUGAGCUGAAUGACCAUUCUCUAGUGAAGGAGAUCCAAAGAUACCUGAGCUCAGGAAGUCUCUCAGCAGCCAAACUGUCACCUGCACUGUUUUGAGCUCUGGUGUUUGUGUUGCUGUCUUCAGAAGAAGAGCUGGAUGUGUUUGACCUGAAGAAAUACUUUAGAUCAGAGGAGGGUCUUUUGAGGAUGCUGCCAGUAGUCAAAGCCUCCAGAACAGCCCUGCUGAAUCAAUGUAACCUCUCAAACCGAUGCUGUUAAGCGCUGGGCACAGCUCUCAUCUCCUCACACUUGGAAGAGCUGGACCUGAGUGGCAACGACCUGCAGGAUUUAGGAGUGAAGCUACUCUCUGCUGGACUGCAAAGUCCACAAUGUAAACUGGUGACACUGAAGCUGUCAGGCUGUCAGGUCACAGAGGAAGGAUGUGCUGCCCUGGCUUCAGCUCUGAGGUCAAACCCCUCCCACCUGAGAGAGCUGGACCUGAGCUACAAUGACCCAGGAGACUCAGGAGUGAAGCUGCUCUUUGCUAUACGGGAGGAUCCACACUGUAAACUGGAGAAACUCAAUGUGGACCAUGGUAGAAGGUGCAGGUUAAAAUCAGGGCCCCAAAAAUGUUUUUUUUUGUUUAAUGCAUGGACGUGUGUUGGACCUGGGUUUAAAUACAUGUGUUCGAUUAUGUGUUAUUUAAAUGCUUAUUUUCUGUGUAUUUUCACAAAUAAUGUGGCCCUAAUCAACUACUUCUAUUGGAAGUACUUUAAAGUAUUUUUUUAAUUUUUUAUUCCAGGAUACAUUAUUUCAAAUACCAAACAGAGUAAAAUGCAUGGGAGUAUUUAAAUUUUUGUGUAAAUACUGUGCAUGUUCAAAUACAUACUUUCCAAGUGUUUUUUUCCCAAAUACAGUAUAUUUCAAACCUGGUCUCCCCAUUUAGAUGCCUGUGAUCUCACACUGGACCCAAACACAGCACACAGAACCCUCUCUCUGUCUGAGGAGAAAAGGAAGGUGGAAUGGACCUGGAAGGAGCAGCUGUAUUCUGAUCACCCAGAGAGAUUUGAGGACUAUGAACAGGUGCUGUGUAGAGAGGGUCUGACUGGGUGCUGUUACUGGGAGGUAGAGUUGAGUGGGAGGGCUUGUAUAGCAGUGACAUAUAAAGGAAUCAGCAGGAGAGGAAAGGGUCCUAACAGUCGGCUUGGAGCCAAUGACAAGUCCUGGAAUCUGAACAGCUUUUAUGACAGCUACUCUGCCAGGCACAAUUAUAAGAGAACUGACAUACCUGUCCCCUCGUCCCGCUCCAACUGAGCAGGAGUGUAUCUGGACUGGCCGGCCGGCACUCUGUCCUUCUACAGCGUCUCCUCUGACACACUGACCCACUUGCGCACAUUCCACUCUACAUUCACUGAGCCCGUCUACCCAGGGUUUUAUGUAAGGGGUGACACAGGGACUGUGACCCUGUGUCAGGUCAAAUAACCUCCUGUAUCCUGGAGUAACACCAGAGUCUUCAGAGAAGUCAUACUCCUGUUCAAUCACAUCUGGGUGACCUGAUGGGAUACGUUUCACUCUAAUCAUGACAUGGAUGAGUAAGUUAACAUGAAUAUACCGUACAUCUCUAAAGUUGACUGACCUUGUAACUAGAAUCACCCCACUGCUGUAAAAACCUCCCAUUUAAAAUCUCUAGUUGUUAUUGCUUUUCCUUAUUGUUUGUAAUAAAAUGUUUCUAGAAUGUUC